CGUACGCAACCUCCCUCUAACUGGAAGAUAGCCCACCGAAAGGUGGAUUAAUACUCCAUAACAUAUUGAAGUGGCAUCACUUUAAUAUUAAAGCUCCGGCGGUAAGAGAUGGGCGUGCGUCUGAUUAGGUAGUUGGCGGGGUAACGGCCCACCAAGCCUGCGAUCAGUAGCUGAUGUGAGAGCAUGAUCAGCCACACGGGCACUGAGACACGGGCCCG
Molecule: ribosomal RNA, 218 nt
Filed under: uncultured bacterium
Lineage: Bacteria
Description: partial 16S ribosomal RNA
Rfam family: Bacterial small subunit ribosomal RNA
Source: RNAcentral